GCAGCAUUUCUUACCCCAGUAAGUCUCAGAAACUUGGUUUAUUGGUCCCUCUUUCAUUACAGUAAGGGGAAAACCAGGAUAAAAUCCAACAUCAGUCCACAUUUUGCUUCUUUGUUGAGUCCUUGCUGGAGGCCUGAGCUAUGAUUCAGUUCAAAGCUGAUGUCCUCUGCGCCAGCCAAACCUUGAAUAUUUGCUCUCCUCAUAGUGGAAAAACACAGUGUUCCUGUACCAGAUGGGGAGCUGAGCCCAUUGGGGGUGAGCCCCCCCUGUCCUCCUUUUAAGGGACUACACAGAUAACUGAGAUGUGGAGAGGGGCUGCUGCAUUCCUAGUGAAGUAUGGAUGCCUUGAAAAGAGUCUGCCGUUGUACUCACCCUUAUCUAGUGGCAGCAGAACAUACACUGUUUCCUGAAAGCGCCUGGUCAGUCUGGUGGAGCCAGUCCUGGACACGCUUCUUCAGCAUUCUGAGAGUAUUCAUGGUCUGUUAGUAGGCACUGAGGUAAUAUUGGUGUUGUUGCUCCAUAACUGCCCUCCAGCCAAAUCCAGCUUUAUAUGGUACAGGAUUUCUCAUCACAUAAAACACCGAAUAAAGAGCUUUGAUGCAACCUCUGGGUUUUUUGAAGUCAGCGAUGCUCUCUGCUGCAGAAACCAUGAUCCUGGAUGGGAUGGACACACCAAGAUGGGAUAGACAGACUAUGAUCUGACACACUGAAAGCAAUCACAUCAAAUUUAAAAUCAAGGAAAACUGGCAAGUUUAAACCUAAAGCUGUAAAGCUCUACUUGAAAACACCAGGUUAAUAAACUGUCAUAUUAUUUAACAUCUUUUGUUAGACACCUUUGCUUAACAGCUAUAAUACCCUGUGUGGGUAUCUUUCUACUGUGCAUUAGAAACAGUUAAUAAAAUCAAUAGAGGGAAGUGGAUUUCUGGUCCUGUAAUUCCAUUUCUUGAACAGUAAGAUAUAGAAAAAUAAUGAGUCAGAUUCUGCUUUCAAUAGCAAUUUGCUCUGCAAAGCACUGUUUUCUUCAGUGCAUUAUUAAGGGUAUAUGCAUUACCCAGCUGCAGAGUAUAAGAGGAUCAAUGCUGAGCAGAUAGCACUCUCUAAAUAGUAAGAGCUUUCCCUUUUAUUAACCAG
This is a long non-coding RNA of Athene cunicularia (burrowing owl), 1131 nucleotides long. RefSeq lists it as uncharacterized. NCBI's taxonomy places the organism in Eukaryota, Metazoa, Chordata, Aves, Strigiformes, Strigidae. The transcript is spliced from 2 exons. The record is from RefSeq and is a predicted model, not a curated record.